AAACAUUCACUUCACCAUCCUCGUACACAAUAUCAAACUCCCAAAUUAUUUCUUCCGUAAAUUUGAGUUCAAGGAAGACCCUAGCAUAUGUACCUUGUUUUCUACUCUCGGUGACCGGAUCCAUGAUCAUCGGAAUGCCAAGUUUUGAUGCAAGCUCUCCCAACGUUUCCGCCGUCCAAUACUCAUUUUGCAAGCCAUGUAUCCGUGCCCAUAUGGGUAUUGAAGCCAUGCUACCCUUGUUGAAUGCAAACUUGUCCGGGAUAUUCUUGAUGAGGAGUGUUCGGCCAUCCGCAACGUACAGCCCUUCCUUGAGCACCUUGUCCCUAUCGUAUUCAUUAUCAAACAAGAAGAACAUGUAUCCGCCUUCCUCUUUGAACCUAGAUGGGACUCCCCGUGAUUUGCGUAGUUGAUUGAUAGCGUAGUACCCCCAAACCUUUUCUUUCGAUAUUGCUUUCGACCUUGUCAUUAGGAACGGUUCUUUCCGAGUCUUGUUANUCUGCUGUGUCACCUUCUCCUUUGAAUGAAGCGAAGGAAACUCGGAUAUAGGGAGAUUAGCAACCGUCCUCCUCAGAACCUCACCAUGUCCCGCUAAACCCAUGCCCUCCACAACACCAGUGCCCAUCGUCUGGUUGGGUAUAUCCACCAUCGUGUUCUGAGUAGCACUUUUAAUGGUGCAAGAAUCAGCCCUUACGUUACUUUCUUUUGAAUGAGAGUUUUGCACCAAUGGUAUGUUGCCACAUGGAGCAGCUUUCUCUUUUCCUUUGAAUGGAAUGGGCCCAUCCCUUCCAUCUUGCGUGCCUGCGUGGCUUCCAUUGACUAUUUAGCCUCAUCAUCCGCCUGAGAUGGCCUACCAAUCUCUUCAUUAGCUUGCAUAGUCAGCCCUGAACUUCCACGUUGACUGGGGGCCACACCGAUUCCAAGUUUAGGUAACACCUGCUGCUCCUCCACUUUUUGCCCAGCUUCCCUGGCAGAUAGUGACACGUGGUGGCACUUCUUCCCCAUCUUCACAAUCAAAGAGAGUCAACCUUGGGAUUAGAAAAGUUAAAACCAAGAUUGGAAUGCUAUGAUCGAAGCAGGUCGCUAGAUCCAACGCUGCGUAGAGAUAGAUCAUAGCAGCCUACACCAAAAGUAAACCCUAGAUGCAACACCCGCCGCCUAUGAACGGAGAGUCACCAGAGGCUCACCAGAGGCUCGAGCUGCUCACGCGGCGAGAGCGGGUCGCCGCGUUCCGGCCGGGAGAGGGUCUGGGAAAGGCCCCCUCGGGGGCCUUUUCCGGGCGUCGAACAGUCGACUCAGAACUGGUACGGACAAGGAAAAUCCGACUGUUUAAUUAAAACAAAGCAUUGCGACGGUCCCUACGGAUGUUAACGUAAUGUGAUUUUUGCCCAGUGCUCUGAAUGUCAAAGUGAAGAAAUUCAACUAAGCGCGGGUAAACGGCGGGAGUAACUAUGACUCUCUUAAAGUAGCCAAAUGCCUCGUCAUCUAGUUAGUGACGCGCAUGGAUUAACGAGAUUCCCACUGUCCCUGUCUACUAACCAGCGAAACCACAACCAAGGGAAUGGGCUUGGCAGAAUAAGCGGGGAAAGAAGACCCUGUUGAGCUUGACUCUAGUCCGACUUUGUGAAAUGACUUGAGAGGUGUAGGAUAAGUGGGAGUCUCGCGGAAAAAGUGAAAUACCACUACUUUUAACUUUAUUUUACUUACUCCGUGAGCCGGAAGCGGGGCAUCGCCCCUCUUUCUAGACCCAAGGGCCGCAUCCGCGGUCUGAUCCGGGCGGAAGACAUUGUCAAGUGGGGAGUUUGACUAGGGUGGCACAUCUAUUAAAAGAUAACACAUGUGUCCUAAGAUGAGUUCAACGGGAACAAAAAUCUCGUGUGGAACAGAAGGGUAAAAGCUCGUUUGAUUCUGAUUUUCAGUACGAAUACGAAUCGUGAAAGCUUGGCCUAACGAUCAUUUAGACCUUCGGAAUUUGAAGCCAGAGGUGUCAGAAUAGUUACCACAAGGAUAACUAGCUUGUAGCAGCCAAGCGUUCUUAGCGACGUUGCUUUUUGAUCCUUCGAUGUCGGCUCUUUCUAUCAUUGUGAAGCAUAAUUCACCAAGUGUUGGAUUUUUCACCCACCAAUAGGGACGUGAGCUGGGUUUAGACCGUCGUGAGACAAGUUAGUUUUACCCCACUGAUGACAGCGUCGCGAUGGUAAUUCAACCUAGUAGGAGAGGAACUGUUGAUUCGAACGAUUGGUCAUCGCGCUUGGUUGAAAAGCCAGUGGUGCAAAGCUACCGUGCGUUGGAUUAUGACUGAACACCUCUAAGUCAGAAUCCGGGCCAGAAGCGACGCAUGCUUAUAGGUGAUGAAAUCACUAUCAUUUAGGGUAGUUUUUAGAGUCUUUUU
Molecule: ribosomal RNA, 2389 nt
Filed under: Fagopyrum esculentum (common buckwheat)
Lineage: Eukaryota; Viridiplantae; Streptophyta; Magnoliopsida; Caryophyllales; Polygonaceae
Description: eukaryotic LSU rRNA
Rfam family: Eukaryotic large subunit ribosomal RNA (bases 1028-2389)
Source: RNAcentral